RNAcentral lists this ribosomal RNA (253 nucleotides) under uncultured bacterium. RNAcentral describes it as "partial 16S ribosomal RNA". It matches the Rfam family "Bacterial small subunit ribosomal RNA", at positions 524 to 776 of the family's 1533-position model. The record is from RNAcentral.
UACGGAGGGGGCAAGCGUUAUUCGGAAUCAUUGGGCGUAAAGGGCGCGUAGGCGGCUUCAUAAGUCUUGGGUGAAAGCCCUCGGCUCAACCGAGGAAUUGCCUUGGAUACUGUGAAGCUCGAGGCUGGAAGAGGGCAGUGGAAUUCCCGGUGUAGCGGUGAAAUGCGUAGAUAUCGGGAGGAAUACCCAUGGCGAAGGCAGUUCACUGGGCAUUAUCUGACGCUGAGGCGCGAAAGCGUGGGGAGCGAACAGG